GCUCUCGUAGCACAGUGGUAGUGCGCGUCACUCGUAGAGCCACCGCUCCGUUUAGACAUGACGAGGUCUUGUGUUCGAUCCACAACGAGAGCA
Molecule: non-coding RNA, 93 nt
Organism: Xylariales sp. AK1849
Lineage: Eukaryota; Fungi; Ascomycota; Sordariomycetes; Xylariales
Source: the annotation of a GenBank genome assembly